Molecule: ribosomal RNA, 400 nt
Filed under: phytoplankton environmental sample
Lineage: Eukaryota
Description: partial small subunit ribosomal RNA
Rfam family: Eukaryotic small subunit ribosomal RNA
Source: RNAcentral
AGCUCCAAUAGCGUAUAUUAAUGUUGUUGCGGUUAAAAAGCUCGUAGUUGGAUUUUGGGUUCGGCUCCGGCGGGCCGGUGAAAACCGUGUCUACUAGAACGGACCUUCUGUCUGGAGCCCCCUCUUCGUAUCUUCAUUGAGACGGGUGGGGACUUUAGGACUUUUACUUUGAACAAAUUGGAGUGUUUAAAGCAGGCGAUCGCCUUGAACACAUUAGCAUGGAAUAACAGUAUAGGACUUUGGUUCUAUUUUGUUGGUUUUAAGGACCGAGGUAAUGAUUAAUAGGGACAGUUGGGGGCAUUCGUAUUUAAUUGUCAGAGGUGAAAUUCUUAGAUUUAUGAAAGACGAACUUCUGCGAAAGCAUUUGCCAAGGAUGUUUUCAUUAAUCAAGAACGAAAGU